This 659-nucleotide ribosomal RNA is filed under the name Desmiphora sp. IBE JGZ-3828. RNAcentral describes it as "partial large subunit ribosomal RNA". It matches the Rfam family "Eukaryotic large subunit ribosomal RNA", at positions 384 to 782 of the family's 3401-position model. Lineage: Eukaryota; Metazoa; Arthropoda; Insecta; Coleoptera; Cerambycidae. The record is from RNAcentral.
AGAGUUCAAGAGUACGUGAAACCGUUCAGGGGUAAACCUGAGAAACCCGAAAGGUCGAAAGGGGAAAUUCAUUCGCGUUUCGACUGUCGAAGUGGGAUGAUCGAGUGACGGACGGCGUACGCGUCGUCCGCGCCUUUCGUUCCUCAUGAUUCGGCGUCGAACGCGUGCACUUUUCCCCUAGUAGGACGUCGCGAUCCGUCGGGUGUCGGUUUAAGGUUCGCGGUGGAGUCCGAGUGUACGUUUUCGGACGUUUCGCACUCGGACCCGCGUUAUUUCCCGACCGACUCGCUCGACGGUAUACGAACGGCGCGGGGCCGCUACACAUUAGUUAGCGUUCGGCCCGCGGCAAGCGCGUCCGGUGUUUUGACGGCGAUCGGACCUAGUGCCGGUCCUGUCCCCGAACGACUGUUGGCCGUGGUGUUCUCGAACAGACCUCGUUUUGAAACGCCGAUCUGCGACGCUAUAGCUUUGGGUACUUUCAGGACCCGUCUUGAAACACGGACCAAGGAGUCUAGCAUGUGCGCGAGUCAUUGGGACAUAACUAAACCUAAAGGCGCAAUGAAAGUGAAGGUCCGCCUCGCGCGGACCGAGGGAGGAUGAGCGGUGCGUACGUUCUUGCGCCCGUUCCGCACUCCCGGGGCGUCUCAUUCUCAUCGCGA